CGCGAAACCAGGCGAGCUACUACAGAACAUAUGUUAGUAUAGAAUAUGUUGCAUAAUGAAGUAGAUUGAGUAGUAGGGGUGAAAGGCUAUCAAGUCUGGUGAUAUCUCGUAAACCUUGAAAUGUAUUAAGUACAAUGUCAAAUUACUAGUGAUAAGGCUGGUGAAAAAUAUUUAAUUUGAUAUCAUUCUACAUAUGCAGUUUAAUCGCUAAUAUCCCAUAAGCCAAAUAUAUAUAUCGGAAACACAAUAGACAAUAAAGGUUAAUACUAAAUUAUCAUGUGUGUAUAUACUGUGUGUAUGAGUAAUUAAGGUAUCACUGAUGAACUCGGCAAUAUUUCUUUCACCUGUUUAUCAAAAACAUCGCCAGUAGGAAAUAGUAUUGGUAAUUUCUGCUCAAUGUGUUAUAAAUAGCCGCAGUACCUUGACUGUGCAAAGGUAGCGUAAUCAUUUGGCUUAUAAUUGAAGUCUAGUAUGAAUGAACCCAUGGGGGAAAGCUCUAUUGGUGAUACACCAUAAAUUUACCGAGGGGGUGCAAAUGCCCCCAACUAAAUAAUAGACGAGAAGACCCUAGAAAUUUGCAGUACGUGUCUCGGUAACUUUUUGUUGGGGCAACAGUGUAGCAUUUAACCUACAGUGAUUACACGACAUGUAUUAAUAAGAAUAAAUUACUCUAGGGAUAACAGCGUAAUUUAAUAGAGUUUGCGACCUCGAUGUUGGACUAGGAAGCAGUCGCUUAGAA
RNAcentral lists this ribosomal RNA (739 nucleotides) under Amplirhagada angustocauda. RNAcentral's name for it is "partial 16S ribosomal RNA". The stretch from base 288 to 739 matches the Rfam family "Archaeal large subunit ribosomal RNA", at positions 1423 to 2629 of the family's 2987-position model. Lineage: Eukaryota; Metazoa; Mollusca; Gastropoda; Stylommatophora; Camaenidae. The record is from RNAcentral.